AGGAGAAUAUCAAGCUGGUGGAAAAGUCGAUUUCGUCCUUGCUUUUGUUAGUGUUGGAUAGGUAUCACGAUCGGGAAUUGAGUGGUUUACAUCAACAUCAGAAAGAGCGAAAGAAGAGAGAGGAAAGAAGAGAGGAAAGGAGACGAUCUCGGUGACAAUAGACCGGUUGCAAGCUGUGAAACUCGAAUUGUAUUGCUAAUCUCAGAAUACAUAGUUGUACUGUAAACAAAUAGAACAGAUUCUGUGGGUUCUACAGUUUCAGAUCCGGGUAGCUCGAUCCGAAUCUCUACAAUUUUUAUUGAAAGAGAUUCGGAUCGAGCUAGCAGCCAAGUAUUCUUCCUUGUCCCAAAAAGGGGGAAACUGCUCAAAGAGAAGGAAUAGGAGAAGAUUUGCAGCCAUUCACCAAGAAAAACGAUAUCGCCAAUAAACCAGAUGAAAAGGAAAAGAAAAACAAAGGUGAGGGAGGUAUAGGGAUGACCAUGGAAGGAGAGCAGCAAGGAUCUUGGCCUCAUUGUUGGAAGAUUCAAACUGAAGAGAUGAACUGAGCUAAAACCAGAAAAUUAAAACAAUGGAAAAUGAAAAAAAAAAACGGAAAAACAGGGACAGAGCCCAAACAGAGGGGCCGCCCCCAACUCUCAAGCCUUCGAUCUUGAUCUAGAGGGAUCAAGAUCUGAGCUAGAGAGGAGGGGGAGGGAAAUGGAAUGUCUAAUGUUUUUUCACCCGGAGAACUAAUUGGAUUGCUGCGAGCUGAACGAACGGGGCGCGCUUUAGAAGAAGUGAUUUGUUACCGAGCCAUAUUAUUAGGAAUAACGAAAGCAUCUCUAAAUACUCAAAAUUUCAUAUCCGAAGCAAGUUUUCAAGAAACUGCUCGAGUUUUAGCAAAAGCUGCCCUCCGGGGUCGUUUCGAUUGGUUGAAAGGUCUGAAAGAGAACGUUGUUCUAGGAGGGAAGAUACCCGUUGGUACCGGAUUCAAAGGAUUCGUGCACCGUUCAAGGCAACAUAACAACAUUUCUUUGGAAACCAAAAAUAAGAGUUUAUUCGAGGGGGAAAUGAGAGAUAUUUUGGUCCA
This is a long non-coding RNA of Rosa rugosa (rugosa rose), 1069 nucleotides long. RefSeq lists it as uncharacterized. Lineage: Eukaryota; Viridiplantae; Streptophyta; Magnoliopsida; Rosales; Rosaceae. The record is from RefSeq and is a predicted model, not a curated record. The transcript has 3 exons.